RNAcentral lists this ribosomal RNA (497 nucleotides) under uncultured bacterium. Its description in RNAcentral is "partial 16S ribosomal RNA". It matches the Rfam family "Bacterial small subunit ribosomal RNA", at positions 28 to 507 of the family's 1533-position model. The record is from RNAcentral.
GAUGAACGCUGGCGGCGUGCCUAAUACAUGCAAGUCGAGCGAACAGAUGAGGAGCUUGCUCCUCUGAUGUUAGCGGCGGACGGGUGAGUAACACGUGGAUAACCUACCUAUAAGACUGGGAUAACUUCGGGAAACCGUAGCUAAUACCGGAUAAUAUAUUGAACCGCAUGGUUCAAUAGUGAAAGACGGUUUUGCUGUCACUUAUAGAUGGAUCCGCGCUGCAUUAGCUAGUUGGUAAGGUAACGGCUUACCAAGGCAACGAUGCGUAGCCGACCUGAGAGGGUGAUCGGCCACACUGGAACUGAGACACGGUCCAGACUCCUACGGGAGGCAGCAGUAGGGAAUCUUCCGCAAUGGGCGAAAGCCUGACGGAGCAACGCCGCGUGAGUGAUGAAGGUCUUCGGAUCGUAAAACUCUGUUAUUAGGGAAGAACAAAUGUGUAAGUAACUAUGCACGUCUUGACGGUACCUAAUCAGAAAGCCACGGCUAACUACGUG